RNAcentral lists this ribosomal RNA (168 nucleotides) under Oplopomus oplopomus (spinecheek goby). Its description in RNAcentral is "partial 12S rRNA". The record is from RNAcentral. Lineage: Eukaryota; Metazoa; Chordata; Actinopteri; Gobiiformes; Gobiidae.
CACCGCGGUUAUACGAGAGGCCCAAGUUGACAAACCCCGGCGUAAAGAGUGGUUAAUAUACAACAAACUAAGGCUAAACACCUUCAAAACUGUCAUACGUUCCCGAAGGCAGGAAGACCUCCAACGAAAGUAGCUUUAACCAGAUAUGACCCCACGAAAGCUAGGAAA